Molecule: long non-coding RNA, 621 nt
Filed under: Solanum tuberosum (potato)
Lineage: Eukaryota; Viridiplantae; Streptophyta; Magnoliopsida; Solanales; Solanaceae
Description: long non-coding RNA (STUB_LNC002249)
Source: RNAcentral
AACAAUCACAUUCACCAACUUCAAACCCGACACCUCAGAGGCCUGAGGCAGCACAUGGCACAAAGCCGCUGUUUUCCUCUGUUCAUACACAACAACCAUACUCACCAACUUCAAACUCGAUACCUCAAAGGAAAGAAAACUACCCUGAAACAACUCAUGGACCAAGGCCUCUGUUUUCCCCUGGUUAUACACAACAAUCACAUUCACCAACACCUCAGAGGAAAGAAAGCCAUCCUGAGGCAGCACACGGCACAAAGCCUCUGUUUACCCCUAUUCAUACACAGAAACCAUAUUCACCAACUUCAAACCCGAUACCUCAAAGGAAAGAGAACUACCCUGAAACAACUCAUGGACCAAGGCCUCUGUUUACCCCUAUUCAUACACAGAAACCAUAUUCACCAACUUCAAACCCGAUACCUCAAAGGAAAGAAAGCUACUCUGAAACAGCACACGGCACAAAGCCUCUGUUUACCCCUGUUCAUACACAGCAACCAUAUUCACCAACUUCAAACCCGAUACCUCAAAGGAAAGAAAGCUACCCUGAAACAGCACACGGUGCAAAGCCUUUGUUUUCCUCUGGUUAUACACCACAAUCACAUCCACCAACUUCAAACCCAACAC